Molecule: ribosomal RNA, 532 nt
Filed under: uncultured bacterium
Lineage: Bacteria
Description: bacterial SSU rRNA
Rfam family: Bacterial small subunit ribosomal RNA
Source: RNAcentral
GCGCUACGCGGUAUGCCUUACACAUGCAAGUCGAACGCGAAAGAGGGGCAACUCCUGUAGAGUGGCGAACGGGUGAGUAAUACAUCGGAACAUACCCGUACUGGGGGAUAACCAGUCGAAAGACUGGCUAAUACCGCACACACCUACGGGUGAAAGCGGGGGACCGCAAGGCCUCGCGCUAUUGGAUUGGCCGAUUCCGAUUAGCUAGUUGGCGGGGUAAAAGCCCACCAAGGCGACGAUCGGUCGCUGGUCUGAGAGGAUUAUCAGCCACACUGGGACUGAGACACGGCCCAGACUCCUACGGGAGGCAUCAGUGGGGAAUUUUGGACAAUGGGCGCAGCCUGAUCCAGCCAUGCCGCGUGUGUAAGAAUGCCUUCGGGUUGUAAAGCACUUUCGGCCGGACGAAUCGCUGUGUUAACACCCAGGGUGGAUACGGUACCGGAAGAAUAAGCACCGGCUAACUACGUGCCACACCUCGGUAAUACGUAGGUGCAGCGUUAAUCGAAUUACUGGGCGUAUAGCGCGCGCAGCG